GACGAACGCUGGCGGCGUGCUUAACACAUGCAAGUCGAACGGUCAAGCGCCUUCCUUUUUGGUGUGUGUGGAUGAGUGGCGAACGGGUGAGUAACACGUGAGUAACCUUCCCCCUUCUUCUGGAUAACCGCAUGAAAGUGUGGCUAACACGGGAUAUUCUGGGUCUGUCGCAUGAUGGGUCUGGGACAGAUUUUGUUUCGGUGGGGGAUGGGCUCGCGGUGUAUUAGCUUGUUGGUGGGGUAAUGGCCUACCAAGGCGGCGAUGAGUAGCCGGCCUGAGAGGGGGGUGGGCGACAAUAGAGGGAAGGCGCGGUGGAGCAGACUACGAGAGGCAGCAGCAGGGGGUAAUAUUGCACGAGGGGAGGAAGGACGGAGCAGCGCCGCGGCGGGAGUGAUGGAGGCCGGAGCGUAAUGAUCCUCUAUCGGGAGUGAAGAAAGGUGGAAUCAUCUGUGCGUGGGUUGACGGUACCUGGACAGGAAGCGCCGGCUAACUACGUG
Molecule: ribosomal RNA, 497 nt
Filed under: uncultured bacterium
Lineage: Bacteria
Description: partial 16S ribosomal RNA
Rfam family: Bacterial small subunit ribosomal RNA
Source: RNAcentral